This 492-nucleotide ribosomal RNA is filed under the name uncultured bacterium. RNAcentral describes it as "partial 16S ribosomal RNA". It matches the Rfam family "Bacterial small subunit ribosomal RNA", at positions 29 to 507 of the family's 1533-position model. The record is from RNAcentral.
AGUGAACGCUGGCGGUAGGCCUAACACAUGCAAGUCGAACGGCAGCACAGUAAGAGCUUGCUCUUACGGGUGGCGAGUGGCGGACGGGUGAGGAAUACAUCGGAAUCUACUUUUUCGUGGGGGAUAACGUAGGGAAACUUACGCUAAUACCGCAUACGACCUACGGGUGAAAGCAGGGGAUCUUCGGACCUUGCGCGAUUGAAUGAGCCGAUGUCGGAUUAGCUAGUUGGCGGGGUAAAGGCCCACCAAGGCGACGAUCCGUAGCUGGUCUGAAAGGAUGAUCAGCCACACUGGAACUGAGACACGGUCCAGACUCCUACGGGAGGCAGCAGUGGGGAAUAUUGGACAAUGGGCGCAAGCCUGAUCCAGCCAUACCGCGUGGGUGAAGAAGGCCUUCGGGUUGUAAAGCCCUUUUGUUGGGAAAGAAAAGCAGCAGGUUAAUACCCCGCUGUUCUGACAGUACCCAAAGAAUAAGCACCGGCUAACUUCGUG